Molecule: ribozyme, 75 nt
Filed under: unclassified sequences
Description: pistol ribozyme
Rfam family: Pistol ribozyme
Source: RNAcentral
AGUCGACUAAGCGACUUUAAAAAGGUAAUUAGGCUUAGAGCGUUUGACCCCGUUUAAAACGGGGUUGAGGUUUAC